RNAcentral lists this ribosomal RNA (540 nucleotides) under Triticum aestivum (bread wheat). RNAcentral describes it as "partial small subunit ribosomal RNA". Lineage: Eukaryota; Viridiplantae; Streptophyta; Magnoliopsida; Poales; Poaceae. The record is from RNAcentral.
AUGACGAUCAAGGUGUCCCUCUACGCGGAUGACGCGGCUGUUUUUCUUGCUCCCAUCAAAAUCGAAGUCAAGUUCUUUGUAGACACGCUGGCCCACUUUGGAGAGGUUACGGGCCUGCAUACCAACUACUCGAAAAGCCUUGUUGCCCCAAUCCAAUGUGACAACUUGGGUCUGAAUGAUAUCCUCCUCUUCUUCCCGGCCAACCGCUCAUCAUUCCCUAUGAAAUAUCUGGGUCUGCCGUUGUCGAUCAAAACAUUAAAUAGAAUCCACUUCCAACCCCUCGAGGAUAAGAUUGCGGCUCAACUUACGCCUUGGAUGGGCAAGCACGUUGCAUCGCCUGGAAGGGUUGUGAUUGUCAAGUUGGUUGUAACGGUGAUUGCUAUAUAUUACUUGAUGGUGCUAAACCUCCCUGUGGAGGUACUGAAAAAGAUUGACUCCCUGCAGCGUGCAUAUCUCUGGGCUGGUUGUGACAAGGUUUCUGGUGGAAAAUGCAAAAUCAACUGGGAGCAAGUGUGCAAAUCUAAACGCAUGGUGGCCUAG